RNAcentral lists this ribosomal RNA (451 nucleotides) under uncultured organism. RNAcentral describes it as "partial 16S ribosomal RNA". It matches the Rfam family "Bacterial small subunit ribosomal RNA", at positions 333 to 801 of the family's 1533-position model. The record is from RNAcentral.
ACACUCCUACGGGAGGCAGCAGUGGGGAAUAUUGGACAAUGGGCGCAAGCCUGAUCCAGCCAUGCCGCGUGAGUGAUGAAGGCCCUAGGGUUGUAAAGCUCUUUCACCGGUGAAGAUAAUGACGGUAACCGGAGAAGAAGCCCCGGCUAACUUCGUGCCAGCAGCCGCGGUAAUACGAAGGGGGCUCGCGUUGUUCGGAUUUACUGGGCGUAAAGCGCACGUAGGCGGACUAUUAAGUCAGGGGUGAAAUCCCGGGGCUCAACCCCGGAACUGCCUUUGAUACUGGUAGUCUUGAGUUCGAGAGAGGUGAGUGGAAUUCCGAGUGUAGAGGUGAAAUUCGUAGAUAUUCGGAGGAACACCAGUGGCGAAGGCGGCUCACUGGCUCGAUACUGACGCUUAGGUGCGAAAGCGUGGGGAGCAAACAGGAAUAGAAACCCAGUAGUCCCAUGAU